GGAAUGGGUAUCUUCCCACCCCACUGAUAUUGGACCAGGCCAUGUGCCUUGAUUCAGCCAAUGGAAUGUGGAAUGCAAUGAGGGGGUGCAGGCUGAAGCUGGAGUGCUGUGACUCCCACUCACCCUCCUGUACUUCCGGUGUCACAAUGGGAAGACACACCCCCUAGCUUACUCCCAAGUGGCACUGCCUGAAGGAGAUCUGCCCCGGUCAUCUGGGGACCCUCAAGCCAGAGUAAACUAAUGCUGCUUUAACCUCUGAGUUUAAAUCAUCUCCGAGCAAUGUUUUGAAGCUGCAUGAUCCAGGAGCACAGGGCAAAUGAAGGAGGUGGAAAGGCUCGAGCACAUUUCAGUUCAACAAGAAUUUCCUGGGCUCCUCCUCUCCCAGCUGAUGUACUGCUCUAGGCGAACAAAGAUGUCAUUCUGCCAGGUGGGAGGAAAAGAGUUGCUUCCCCAUGGAUCUGCUUGCCAUUGAUCUCCUUUUGGGUCACUUGCAUUACCCUGCAUAUUAUACCAGCAUUGGCCUGCACCUUUCAUGUCACGUCUCCAGACACCUACGUCAUCACACAGGCUCUGGGAUUAUGAUGAUUACCAACACACCCCAGCUAAAGGGGACCAGGCAGACACCACGGUGGGCUUCAGCAAGGAGAUGAAACACAGAGAAAAUGAGUUCUACCUAAGCAAAAACACCAUGGACUUAAGUAUUAUUAUUAUUAUUAUUAUUUUUAAGAUAAAGUCUCAUUGUGUCACCCAGGCCAAAGUCCAGUAAUGUGAUCUUGGCUCAUUGCAACUUCCACCUCCUAGGCUCAAGCAAUCCUCCCACUUCAGCCUCCUGAGUAGCUGGGACCACAGGCACACAUCACGAUGCCUGCCUAAUUUUUAUAGUUUUUGUAGAGAUGGGGUUUUGACAUGUUCUUCAGGCUGGUCUUGAACUCCUAGACUCAAGGGAUCCAUCCACUUUGGCUACCAAAGUGCUGGAAUUAUAGACAUGAGCCACUGUGCCCAGACUGGUCUUAAUUUUGUAUUGAAAAUACCAGUAUGAACUGAUAAUAUGUCUUUAAAAAGAACAAACAUAUUGUAUGUUUUUUUAUACCAAUCUAGGAUAUAA
Long non-coding RNA from Callithrix jacchus (white-tufted-ear marmoset), 1105 nucleotides. RefSeq lists it as uncharacterized. NCBI's taxonomy places the organism in Eukaryota, Metazoa, Chordata, Mammalia, Primates, Cebidae. The record is from RefSeq and is a predicted model, not a curated record.